CGAGCGGACAGAUGGGAGCUUGCUCCCUGAAGUCAGCGGCGGACGGGUGAGUAACACGUGGGCAACCUGCCUGUAAGACUGGGAUAACUUCGGGAAACCGGAGCUAAUACCGGAUAACACCGAGGACCUCAUGGUCCUUGGUUGAAAGAUGGCUUCGGCUAUCACUUACAGAUGGGCCCGCGGCGCAUUAGCUAGUUGGUGAGGUAACGGCUCACCAAGGCGACGAUGCGUAGCCGACCUGAGAGGGUGAUCGGCCACACUGGGACUGAGACACGGCCCAGACUCCUACGGGAGGCAGCAGUAGGGAAUCUUCCGCAAUGGACGAAAGUCUGACGGAGCAACGCCGCGUGAGCGAUGAAGGCCUUCGGGUCGUAAAGCUCUGUUGUUAGGGAAGAACAAGUACCGUUCGAAUAGGGCGGUACCUUGACGGUACCUAACCAGAAAGCCACGGCUAACUACGUGCCAGCAGCCGCGGUAAUACGUAGGUGGCAAGCGUUGUCCGGAAUUAUUGGGCGUAAAGCGCGCGCAGGCGGUUUCCUUAAGUCUGAUGUGAAAGCCCACGGCUCACCGUGGAGGGUCAUUGGAAACUGGGGAACUUUAAGUGCAGAAGAGGAAAGCGGAAUUCCACGUGUAGCGGUGAAAUGCGUAGAGAUGUGGAGGACACCAGUGGCGAACGCGACUUUCUGGUCU
This 690-nucleotide ribosomal RNA is filed under the name uncultured Bacillus sp. RNAcentral describes it as "bacterial SSU rRNA". It matches the Rfam family "Bacterial small subunit ribosomal RNA", at positions 63 to 735 of the family's 1533-position model. The record is from RNAcentral. Lineage: Bacteria; Bacillati; Bacillota; Bacilli; Caryophanales; Bacillaceae.